UAUACCAAAAAGAAAAAAAAUUAAAUGAAGUGAGAGCGAGAGGUGCAGCGGACAAUUGCAACGCAGCAAUCCUGAAGGUCUGAAAAUAAUAAUUCUGCAGACUUCCAUUUCUUUAUCGCAAAAUGCACAUCAUAUCAUCAUCGGCGUCAUCAUCAUCAUGUGCUACUGCCUCAGCUACUGCAUAACUACAAUUCCUGGAAAACGAAGUAUGGUUCCAGUGGUACCCAUAGAAAAAGAAGCUAGGAGUCCUCGUCGCAGAUAACGACGCGACGCGGUACGGAUAACAAGCCGACAUGGGAGUCACUCGACACCGCGGGACGCCCGGUACCCACCGACCCUAUUUUCUGCCCUUCUCUACACCAUGAUCUCGGAAUAUCCUACCAACGGAAAAUCAACCCCUUGAUACCUCAAGGAUAUAAAAGGUAUUCCGACGAACAGAAAGAGCAAAGAAACAAGGUACAUCACGGGUACUGCGGUGAACAGGAAGCGAUAUUAAUGGCUGGAAAAAAUUCACUAGCUAGUAGCUAGACAUGCACGAAGAGUGGGAUAUGAUAUUUGGUUGACAGCUAUUGUCGUCGAUAUUUCAAUGGGGGUAUUACAACAAUAAGCUGCAGCUAUUGACAAGGGCACGCGGUUCGGAGGACGACAGAGGGG
This 654-nucleotide unclassified non-coding RNA is filed under the name Athalia rosae (coleseed sawfly). RNAcentral's name for it is "misc RNA ENSAEAG00005009324.1". The record is from RNAcentral. Lineage: Eukaryota; Metazoa; Arthropoda; Insecta; Hymenoptera; Athaliidae.